Molecule: long non-coding RNA, 1160 nt
Organism: Coturnix japonica (Japanese quail)
Lineage: Eukaryota; Metazoa; Chordata; Aves; Galliformes; Phasianidae
Source: Ensembl
GGUUAUAGGGUUACCUAUAGGGUUGGUUUAUUACAUAUAGGGUUGGGGUUACCUAUAGGGUUGGGGUUGGGGUUAUUAUAUAUAGGGUUACCUAUAGGGUUACCUAUAGGGUUAGGGUUGGGGUUGGGGUUGGGGUUAUUAUAUAUAGGGUUACCUAUAGGGUUACCUAUAGGGUUAGGGUUGGGGUUGGGGGGAGGAAGAGUUGGUUAUGAGGGGCUGGUAUANNNNNNNNNNNNNNNNNNNNNNNNNACACCCCAUAGACCCCAUAGACCCCAACAGACACUCACUCACCCCAUAGACCCCUAUAGGCACCCCAUAGACCCCCACUCACCCCAUAGACCCUAUAGACACCCCAUAGACCCCUAUUGACACCCCAUAGACCCCUAUUGUCACCCCAUAGACCCUAUAGACCCCACAGACCCCUAUUGUCACCCCAUAGACCCUAUAGACCCCANUAGACCCUAUAGGCACCCCAUAGACCCCUACUGACACCCCCUAUACACAUCCACUCAUCCCAUAGACCCCUACUGACACCCCAUAGACACCCCAUAGACCCCAAUAGACACUCACUCACCCCAUAGACCCCUAUUGACACCCCAUAGACCCCUACUGACACCCCAUAGACCCCAUACAUCAGUCACGCACCCCAUAGCCCCCAACAGACACCCCAUAGACCCCCACAGACCCCUAUUGACACCCCAUAGACCCCAAUAGACACUCACUCACCCCAGACACCCCAUAGACACCCCAUAGACCCUAUAGACCCCAUUAGACACCCCACAGACCCUAUAGACCCCAUUAGACACCCCACAGACCCCAACAGACACUCACUCACCCCAUAGACACCCCAUAGACCCCUAUACACAUCCACUCACCCCAUAGACCCCUACUGACACCCCAUAGACCCCUAUUGACACCCCAUAGACACCCCAUAGACCCCAAUAGACACUUACUCACCCCACAGACCCCUAUUGACACCCCAUAGACCCCAAUAGACACUCACUCACCCCACAGACACCCCAUAGACCCCUAUUGACACCCCAUAGACCCCAAUAGACACUCACUCACCCCAGAUACCCCAUAGACACCCCAUAGACCCUAUAGACCCCAUUAGACACCCCACAGACCCUCACUCACCCCAUAGACACCCCAUAGACCCC